Sinocyclocheilus grahami is the source of this 220-nucleotide long non-coding RNA. RefSeq lists it as uncharacterized. NCBI's taxonomy places the organism in Eukaryota, Metazoa, Chordata, Actinopteri, Cypriniformes, Cyprinidae. The record is from RefSeq and is a predicted model, not a curated record. The transcript is spliced from 3 exons.
UUAUGUCAAAGGACUACCGCAUCCCUGAUAUUUCAAAACCUGGUGUAUGGAAGAUUACAGCACAUUACAAAGGUGACGAGAAAAAUGCUGCAGUGCGUGAAUUCAAGGUCCAGAAGUUUGUUCUUCCCAGCUUUGGGGUUUCUAUUCAUUCAGAGAAAGCCUUUCUGCUUGUGAAUGCUGAGAUAUUUACAUUCACCAUUAAAGCCUCGUAAGUUCACAU